This 379-nucleotide unclassified non-coding RNA is filed under the name soil metagenome. RNAcentral describes it as "partial contains 5.8S ribosomal RNA, internal transcribed spacer 2, and large subunit ribosomal RNA". The stretch from base 1 to 120 matches the Rfam family "5.8S ribosomal RNA", at positions 35 to 154 of the family's 154-position model. The record is from RNAcentral.
GAUGAAGAACGUAGCGAAAUGCGAUAAGUAGUGUGAAUUGCAGAAUUCAGUGAAUCAUCGAAUCUUUGAACGCACAUUGCGCCCGCCAGUAUUCUGGCGGGCAUGCCUGUUCGAGCGUCAUUUCAACCCUCAAGCCCCAGCGGCCUGGUGUUGGGGACCGGCGACCUCGCCCGAGCCCGCCCUCCGGGGCGCGUGCCCGGUGCGUCCGCCGCCCCCGAAAUGAAUUGGCGGCCUCGUCGCGGCCUCCUCUGCGUAGUAGCACAACCUCGCAAGCGGGAGCGCGACGCGGCCACUGCCGUAAAACGCCCAACUUUUUUAGAGUUGACCUCGGAUCAGGUAGGAAUACCCGCUGAACUUAAGCAUAUCAAUAAGCGGAGGA